Molecule: ribosomal RNA, 257 nt
Filed under: uncultured bacterium
Lineage: Bacteria
Description: partial 16S ribosomal RNA
Rfam family: Bacterial small subunit ribosomal RNA
Source: RNAcentral
UACAGAGGUCUCAAGCGUUGUUCGGAUUCAUUGGGCGUAAAGGGUGCGUAGGCGGCGCGGUAAGUCGGGUGUGAAAUCUCGGAGCUUAACUUCGAAACUGCAUUCGAUACUGCCGUGCUUGAGGACUGGAGAGGAGACUGGAAUUUACGGUGUAGCGGUGAAAUGCGUAGAUAAUCGUAAGGAAGACCGAGUGGCGAAGGCGGGUCUCGUGGACAGUUCCUGACGCUGAGGCACGAAGGCCAGGGGUAGCAAACGGG